AUGGGAUUUUCCAGGCAAGAGUACUGGAGCGGGGUGCCAUUGCCUUCUCCGAGUGUAGUAAUAUUUAGUCAUGAUAGGGAAUGAGGAGGAAGAAGCAGACAUUCUGGGUGACAGACUGGAUUUGGCAACCAAGGAGAAAUAUAUACCAGAAGGUGCCAAGUUAAGAGACGAUGGAGCUGGCUGGAUCCUUCCAGAAUGGAAAAGAAGCUCUUUUGAAAGAUGCCUGGGAAGGUACUACAAGGGUCAAACAAGAUGAUUCAAGCAAAAGCUACCUUAAAAAAUAUGGCUUAUUGAUACUAUCCUCUGUUGCCUUAAAACUGAAAUACUUGGUGCAUGGGAAUGAUGUCCUAGUAAUGGACGGUCUCCUCAAGAAAAGUCAAAAUCUGCAUUUCUUGAUAAAGAAACUGAGACAUCAAAAGGCUAUGUCAUUUGUCUGAAGUCACAC
Molecule: long non-coding RNA, 445 nt
Organism: Bos taurus (domestic cattle)
Lineage: Eukaryota; Metazoa; Chordata; Mammalia; Artiodactyla; Bovidae
Source: Ensembl